RNAcentral lists this long non-coding RNA (1281 nucleotides) under Malus domestica (apple). RNAcentral's name for it is "long non-coding RNA (MDOM_LNC014950)". Lineage: Eukaryota; Viridiplantae; Streptophyta; Magnoliopsida; Rosales; Rosaceae. The record is from RNAcentral.
UGUGUCAUUAAUUUCAGGGACUUCGAUCAAAAAUUGAAAACCAACAAGGUUUCAAUCAAAGAAUAUUCAUAACUAGGGACUUUGGAUGCGGUCCCUAGGCACCAAUAUUUCUUAAUUAAAACUUUAUUCAUUUUUAGUUUUAUAUCAUAGUCAUUUAGUUUUUCAUACCUUAGCAUAUUAGUAUUAAUAUAUUCUCAUACCAACAAUUAACCUUGUGUUUGGACCCGAUUUUACAAUAUCGGCCCGAGCAAUCGAGGUCGUUGAAUGAGCAGGUUCUAAACUGUUGGAUUUCAUAUUUUUCUAGAUAUUACAAUUGGAUUUUCGUAGUAAUUAUCUUAUGAAAUAUAUUGUUGGAAGCAAAGGAGAUCAUUUUCAGUUCGAAUUGCUACACUUACAUGAUGAUUGGUUUGAAAGCUAACAUGGCAGGUUAAGAGACUAUUUUGCAUAAGAUAAUUAGCAUUUAGAAAAGGAGAUAAAGAUGGCAAAGGUUGAUAAGGGCAUAAUUUGCUCGGAACCAAACCAUGCAUGCAGGUUAUCUCGGUAAUUGUGAUAUCUGAUGAUUACCAAAAGAUAAUUGGAAUGGCGAUGUGGUGUGAUCAUAUGGGUUUUGAAGAGAUAAGAAUUGGUAAGGAAUGAAAGAAUAUUCUUUUGUUUUCCUAUUUGAUCAAAACAACAAUGUGCAUGCAAAUUGAAUGUUUGUCAGAUAAAAGAAUAAAGAAAUAAAGAUGAGAAUAAAUAGUCAAAGGAUGAGGUUGCAUGCAGACGUGUGGGUCUAAGUCUGAGAUGAUGCGAUUUCAUUGGUGCAUGAGGUUCCAGGAAAGUUUUGAAGCUUUAAUCACGUGGAAGGCUUUAUAGUUUUGAAAUUUUCAACAUUAUCUUUAAGAAAUUGGGAGAUAUAUGCCUCGAAUUAUCUUGGAGAAAGUGGAUGGCAGAGAGAUAUGACGGGCAUAACUUGAGAUAAAGUUUGAAUACAGGAUGAUGUUCCCUAUUGUUGGAUUGUUUAUUGGACUCUACAAACACCAUCAGGCCGUGCCAAGCAGAUAUCCAACCUUAUAAAUACAGGACUCGGUGUAUCGUUCAAAACCUCUCCAAUUCAACACACAAAGUUUCUCAACAACCUUUGAGAUUUUAUUCUCUCCUCCUUUCUUUUCACCAACACAUCUUCAGUUUAGAUAAACAGCACUGUGAAUGCAACUGGCGACAUCUUCAGUUUGGAUAAACAGCAUUGGAGCCGUAGAAUCAGCCGAUCAAUAAGCACUUUCAGUUUGGAUAAACAACACU